This 414-nucleotide long non-coding RNA is filed under the name Elaeis guineensis (African oil palm). RNAcentral describes it as "long non-coding RNA (EGUI_LNC011081)". Lineage: Eukaryota; Viridiplantae; Streptophyta; Magnoliopsida; Arecales; Arecaceae. The record is from RNAcentral.
UAUUAUAAAUAAAGUUGGAAUUAUAUCAUAUUAACUUCUUAAUUUGAACCUAAAAUCAGAAUCCACGUGCUUUUCUUCCCUUCUCUCGUGUUUUCUGGGGUUAAGAACAUCUUAAGCCUACUGAUAAAUUGAAACUUUUGCACUUAUAAUGAUGGCACAAGGUUGGUAUCCUUCAUGUGGUUGUCCAUUGUGACAAGUUACCAAUCCAUUCUCUCACCUCCACCCCUUUCACACAUGAUCACAAAUUAUUAGUGACCUCUACUCAUCACAUCAUUUCACAAACUUGAAUGGUUGGAUGCACCCGCAGGCAAGAUCCAGAGUCACCGGCCGACUUGUUUCCGGCAUCACGACAAGCUCACAGGAACAACAUUUGAAAUGAAAAAGGCUUUGGGACCAGCACUGCUCGGAUAGCAC